GCCGAGAUAGCCAAGGUGGUCAAGGCGCCUGUCUGAAGAACAGGUUAUUUCAGUUCGACUCUGGAUCUCGGCA
This 73-nucleotide transfer RNA is filed under the name Candidatus Levybacteria bacterium CG_4_10_14_0_2_um_filter_35_8. RNAcentral's name for it is "tRNA-Phe". It matches the Rfam family "tRNA". From Rfam's summary of the family: Transfer RNA (tRNA) molecules are approximately 80 nucleotides in length. Their secondary structure includes four short double-helical elements and three loops (D, anti-codon, and T loops). The record is from RNAcentral. Lineage: Bacteria; Candidatus Levyibacteriota. RNAcentral also lists the same sequence under 3 other names.